This 501-nucleotide ribosomal RNA is filed under the name uncultured bacterium. RNAcentral describes it as "partial 16S ribosomal RNA". It matches the Rfam family "Bacterial small subunit ribosomal RNA", at positions 30 to 523 of the family's 1533-position model. The record is from RNAcentral.
AUUGAACGCUGGCGGCAGGCUUAACACAUGCAAGUCGAGCGGGGGAAGGUAGCCUGCUACCGGACCUAGCGGCGGACGGGUGAGUAAUGCUUAGGAAUCUGCCUAUUAGUGGGGGACAACAUCUCGAAAGGGAUGCUAAUACCGCAUACGUCCUACGGGAGAAAGCAGGGGAUCUUCGGACCUUGCGCUAAUAGAUGAGCCUAAGUCGGAUUAGCUAGUUGGCGGGGUAAAGGCCUACCAAGGCGACGAUCUGUAGCGGAUCUGAGAGGAUGAUCCGCCACACUGGGACUGAGACACGGCCCAGACUCCUACGGGAGGCAGCAGUGGGGAAUAUUGGACAAUGGGGGGAACCCUGAUCCAGCCAUGCCGCGUGUGUGAAGAAGGCCUUAUGGUUGUAAAGCACUUUAAGCGAGGAGGAGGCUACUCUAGUUAAUACCUAGGGAUAGUGGACGUUACUCGCAGAAUAAGCACCGGCUAACUCUGUGCCAGCAGCCGCCGUAA